This 145-nucleotide ribosomal RNA is filed under the name Fusarium equiseti. Its description in RNAcentral is "5.8S ribosomal RNA". It matches the Rfam family "5.8S ribosomal RNA". From Rfam's summary of the family: 5.8S ribosomal RNA (5.8S rRNA) is a component of the large subunit of the eukaryotic ribosome. It is transcribed by RNA polymerase I as part of the 45S precursor that also contains 18S and 28S rRNA. Functionally, it is thought that 5.8S rRNA may be involved in ribosome translocation. Lineage: Eukaryota; Fungi; Ascomycota; Sordariomycetes; Hypocreales; Nectriaceae. The record is from RNAcentral.
ACGGAUCUCUUGGUUCUGGCAUCGAUGAAAAACGCAGCAAAAUGCGAUAAGUAAUGUGAAUUGCAAAAUUCAGUGAAUCAUCGAAUCUUUGAACGCACAUUGCGCCCGCCAGUAUUCUGGCGGGCAUGCCUGUUCGAGCGUCAUU